This 119-nucleotide ribosomal RNA is filed under the name Pteropus alecto (black flying fox). RNAcentral also lists the same sequence under 1 other name. The record is from RNAcentral. Lineage: Eukaryota; Metazoa; Chordata; Mammalia; Chiroptera; Pteropodidae.
GUCUACAGCCAUGCUAUCCUGAACAAGCCCGAUCCCAUCUGAUCUUGGAAACUAAGCAGGGUCGGGCCUGGUUAGUACUUGGAUGGGAGACCACCUAGAAAGACCAGGUACUGUAGGCA